GAUGAACGCUGGCGGCGUGCCUAAUACAUGCAAGUCGAGCGAACGGACGAGAAGCUUGCUUCUCUGAUGUUAGCGGCGGACGGGUGAGUAACACGUGGAUAACCUACCUAUAAGACCGGGAUAACUUCGGGAAACCGGAGCUAAUACCGGAUAAUAUUUUGAACCGCAUGGUUCAAAAGUGAAAGACGGUCUUGCUGUCACUUAUAGAUGGAUCCGCGCUGCAUUAGCUAGUUGGUAAGGUAACGGCUUACCAAGGCAACGAUGCAUAGCCGACCUGAGAGGGUGAUCGGCCACACUGGAACUGAGACACGGUCCAGACUCCUACGGGAGGCAGCAGUAGGGAAUCUUCCGCAAUGGGCGAAAGCCUGACGGAGCAACGCCGCGUGAGUGAUGAAGGUCUUCGGAUCGUAAAACUCUGUUAUUAGGGAAGAACAUAUGUGUAAGUAACUGUGCACAUCUUGACGGUACCUAAUCAGAAAGCCACGGCUAACUACGUGCCAGCAGCCGCGGUAAUACGUAGGUGGCAAGCGUUAUCCGGAAUUAUUGGGCGUAAAGCGCGCGUAGGCGGUUUUUUAAGUCUGAUGUGAAAGCCCACGGCUCAACCGUGGAGGGUCAUUGGAAACUGGAAAACUUGAGUGCAGAAGAGGAAAGUGGAAUUCCAUGUGUAGCGGUGAAAUGCGCAGAGAUAUGGAGGAACACCAGUGGCGAAGGCGACUUUCUGGUCUGUAACUGACGCUGCUGUGCGAAAGCGUGGGGAUCAAACAGGAUUAGAUACCCUGGUAGUCCACGCCGUAAACGAUGAGUGCUAAGUGUUAGGGGGUUUCCGCCCCUUAGUGCUGCAGCUAACGCAUUAAGCACUCCGCCUGGGGAGUACGACCGCAAGGUUGAAACUCAAAGGAAUUGACGGGGACCCGCACAAGCGGUGGAGCAUGUGGUUUAAUUCGAAGCAACGCGAAGAACCUUACCAAAUCUUGACAUCCUUUGACAACUCUAGAGAUAGAGCCUUCCCCUUCGGGGGACAAAGUGACAGGUGGUGCAUGGUUGUCGUCAGCUCGUGUCGUGAGAUGUUGGGUUAAGUCCCGCAACGAGCGCAACCCUUAAGCUUAGUUGCCAUCAUUAAGUUGGGCACUCUAAGUUGACUGCCGGUGACAAACCGGAGGAGGGUGGGGAUGACGUCAAAUCAUCAUGCCCCUUAUGAUUUGGGCUACACACGUGCUACAAUGGACAAUACAAAGGGCAGCGAAACCGCGAGGUCAAGCAAAUCCCAUAAAGUUGUUCUCAGUUCGGAUUGUAGUCUGCAACUCGACUACAUGAAGCUGGAAUCGCUAGUAAUCGUAGAUCAGCAUGCUACGGUGAAUACGUUCCCGGGUCU
RNAcentral lists this ribosomal RNA (1372 nucleotides) under uncultured bacterium. RNAcentral's name for it is "bacterial SSU rRNA". It matches the Rfam family "Bacterial small subunit ribosomal RNA", at positions 28 to 1381 of the family's 1533-position model. The record is from RNAcentral.